Pelobates cultripes (western spadefoot toad) is the source of this 227-nucleotide non-coding RNA. The record is from the annotation of a GenBank genome assembly. Lineage: Eukaryota; Metazoa; Chordata; Amphibia; Anura; Pelobatidae.
AUAGAAACAUUUAAAUAUAUAAUGGAAAUCAACACAGUAAAGGAGGAGACUAUACUUAAAAGAAGAAAAACUACCACAACAAGAGGACAUAGUCUUAAAUUAGAGGGACAAAGGUUUAAAAAUAAUAUCAGGAAGUAUUACUUUACUGAGAGGGUAGUGGAUGCCUGGAAUAGCCUUCCAGCUGAAGUGGUAGAGGUUAACACAGUAAAGGAGUUUAAGCAUGCGUG